AGGUCUAUGAUGGCAAGCCAAUGUCACAAAAAGAGGUGAUGACAUGAAAUUCAUGCUCAAGAGGAUUAUGCUGAGGCCC
This is a small nucleolar RNA of Mesocricetus auratus (golden hamster), 79 nucleotides long. Its record names the gene SNORD115. It matches the Rfam family "Small nucleolar RNA SNORD115". From Rfam's summary of the family: HBII-52 is a member of the C/D class of snoRNAs, which contain the C (UGAUGA) and D (CUGA) box motifs. HBII-52 is encoded in a tandemly repeated array with another C/D snoRNA, HBII-85, in the Prader-Willi syndrome (PWS) region of chromosome 15. HBII-52 is exclusively expressed in the brain but is absent in PWS patients. The record is from Ensembl. NCBI's taxonomy places the organism in Eukaryota, Metazoa, Chordata, Mammalia, Rodentia, Cricetidae.